Molecule: ribosomal RNA, 1381 nt
Filed under: uncultured prokaryote
Description: partial 16S ribosomal RNA
Rfam family: Bacterial small subunit ribosomal RNA
Source: RNAcentral
AAACACUUUAGGCUUGCUUAGAGUGUUUAGUGGCGAAAGGGUUAGUAAUACAUGGGUAAUCUGCCUUUAACCUGGGAAUAACGGCUGGAAACGGCCGCUAAUACCGAAUGAGGUGUAUUUCGGGCAUCCGAGAUGCAUCAAAGUGGGGGACCAGCAAUGGCCUUGCGGUUGAAGAGGAGCCCAUGGGAUAUCAGCUAGUUGGAGUGGUAAAAGCACACCAAGGCUAAGACGUCUAGGCGAGUUGAGAGAUUGACCGCCAACACUGGGACUGAGACACUGCCCAGACUCCUACGGGAGGCUGCAGUCGAGAAUCAUUCGCAAUGGGCGAAAGCCUGACGAUGCGACGCCGUGUGAGCGAAGAAGGCCUUCGGGUUGUAAAGCUCUUUCGCCUGGGAACAAGAGAGGUCGAUUAAUAAUCGGCCAAUUUGAGGGUACCAGGUAAAGAAGCACCGGCUAACUCCGUGCCAGCAGCUGCGGUAAUACGGAGGGUGCAAGCAUUAAUCGGAUUUACUGGGCGUAAAGGAUGCGUAGGCGGGGGUGUAAGUCAGGUGUAAAAGACCGAAGCUCAACUUCGGAAUUGCACUUGAAACUGUUUUCCUUGAGGGUAGGCGGAGAAGACGGAAUUCCACGUGUAGCGGUGAAAUGCGUAGAUAUGUGGAAGAACACCGGUGGCGAAGGCGGUUUCCUAGCUUACAACUGACACUGAGGCGCGAAAGUGAGGGGAGCAAACAGGAUUAGAUACCCUGGUAGUCCUCACCCUAAACGAUGUAUACUAGAUGUAGUUGGAAUCAAUCCCUACUUUGCCGAAGCUAACGCGUUAAGUAUGCCGCCUGGGGAGUACGCUCGCAAGGGUGAAACUCAAAAGAAUUGACGGGGGCCCGAACAAGCAGUGGAGCAUGUGGUUUAAUUCGAUGCAACGCGAAGAACCUUACCCAGGCUUGACAUGUAGUGGAAAGCUCUAGAGAUAGAGCCCCCCGCAAGGGCCGCUAAACAGGUGCUGCAUGGCUGUCGUCAGCUCGUGCCGUGAGGUGUUGGGUUAAGUCCCGCAACGAGCGCAACCCUUAUCAUUAGUUGCCAGCAAGUUAUGUUGGGCACUCUAGUGAGACUGCCUGGGUUAACCAGGAGGAAGGUGAGGAUGAGGUCAAGUCCGCAUGGCCCUUAUGUCUGGGGCUACACACGUGCUACAAUGGCCGGUACAGAGGGCAAGUAAGCCGCGAGGUGGAGCAAAUCCCACAAAACCGAUCUCAGUUCGGAUUGUAGUCUGCAACUCGACUACAUGAAGCUGGAAUUGCUAGUAAUGGCGUGUCAGCAAUAACGCCGUGAAUACGUUCCCGGGUCUUGUACACACCGCCCGUCACAUCAUGGAAGUUGGUUUUACCCG